Molecule: ribosomal RNA, 465 nt
Filed under: uncultured bacterium
Lineage: Bacteria
Description: partial 16S ribosomal RNA
Rfam family: Bacterial small subunit ribosomal RNA
Source: RNAcentral
GACGAACGCUGGCGGCGUGCUUAACACAUGCAAGUCGAACGGAAAGGCCCUGCUUGCAGGGUACUCGAGUGGCGAACGGGUGAGUAACACGUGGGUGAUCUGCCCUGCACUUCGGGAUAAACCUGGGAAACUGGGUCUAAUACCGGAUAGGAGCCAUUUUUAGUGUGAUGGUUGGAAAGUUUUUUCGGUGUAGGAUGAGCUCGCGGCCUAUCAGCUUGUUGGUGGGGUAAUGGCCUACCAAGGCGGCGACGGGUAGCCGGCCUGAGAGGGUGGACGGCCACAUUGGGACUGAGAUACGGCCCAGACUCCUACGGGAGGCAGCAGGGGGGAAUAUUGCACAAUGGGCGCAAGCCUGAUGCAGCGACGCCGCGUGGGGGAUGACGGCCUUCGGGUUGUAAACUCCUUUCGCUAGGGACGAAGCUUUUUGUGACGGUACCUAGAUAAGAAGCACCGGCUAACUACGUG